GGAGAGGUGGCCGAGUUGGCUGAAGGCGCUCGCCUGGAAAGCGGGUAAACGUGAGAGCGUUUCGAGGGUUCGAAUCCCUCUCUCUCCGCCA
RNAcentral lists this transfer RNA (91 nucleotides) under Tissierellia bacterium. Its description in RNAcentral is "tRNA-Ser". It matches the Rfam family "tRNA". Rfam says of the family: Transfer RNA (tRNA) molecules are approximately 80 nucleotides in length. Their secondary structure includes four short double-helical elements and three loops (D, anti-codon, and T loops). Lineage: Bacteria; Bacillati; Bacillota; Tissierellia. The record is from RNAcentral.